UGGGGCAGAAAGAUUUACCUGUUUGUUUUCAGUCCAUAACUCAAAAAGUUUUGGACGGACUUUAGUGAAAUUUUGCAUGCGGCUUCCCAACUGACUCGUGUAUAAUUGUUAUGAUCGUUUUUAAUUUUGUCAUGAUUGUUGCCUAGCUAUGGCGGAGAUUACAAAAAGAGCCCAAAUUGCGGCGCCGAUGCAGGCUGGCCACAGCGUCCGAAGCGUUCCAAAACAGCUCGGCGUUACCAUAAAAACUGUUAACAAUCUAAAGAAAUGCCUUAAAGGGACAGGCACAGUGUCGAGGAAGCCCAUCCCAGGCAGAACAAGACAUGUCCGCGCUAAAGAGCUGGUUGAUAUCGUGCACAAGAUGGUGUCUCGAACUCCUUGGCGAAAUAUGCGCAAACUGGCAAAGGAC
Amphibalanus amphitrite is the source of this 406-nucleotide long non-coding RNA. RefSeq lists it as uncharacterized. NCBI's taxonomy places the organism in Eukaryota, Metazoa, Arthropoda, Thecostraca, Balanomorpha, Balanidae. The transcript is spliced from 3 exons. The record is from RefSeq and is a predicted model, not a curated record.